UCGACGCGUCGCGACUGGCGCCGCCCGGUGGAUCUCCGCCCGGGCAGGGUGGAUCACCACCGGGGAGCGACACGCUGUGCAGACGACGGGUCGUUCGCCUGGGCCCCGGGU
Molecule: regulatory RNA element, 111 nt
Organism: Cellulosimicrobium funkei
Lineage: Bacteria; Bacillati; Actinomycetota; Actinomycetes; Micrococcales; Promicromonosporaceae
Rfam family: ZMP/ZTP riboswitch aptamer (pfl RNA motif)
About the family: Previously known as pfl RNA. ZMP is also known as AICAR.
Source: Rfam